This 462-nucleotide ribosomal RNA is filed under the name uncultured bacterium. RNAcentral's name for it is "bacterial SSU rRNA". It matches the Rfam family "Bacterial small subunit ribosomal RNA", at positions 33 to 507 of the family's 1533-position model. The record is from RNAcentral.
ACGCUGGCGGCGUGCUUAACACAUGCAAGUCGAACGGUGACCCAGGGCUUGCCCUGGUGAUCAGUGGCGAACGGGUGAGUAACACGUGGGCAACCUGCCCCUGACUUCGGGAUAACUCCUCGAAAGAGGAGCUAAUACCGGAUACGACCACUUCGGACAUCCGAUGGUGGUGGAAAGUUUUUCGGUCAGGGGAUGGGCCCGCGGCCUAUCAGCUAGUUGGUGGGGUAAUGGCCUACCAAGGCGACGACGGGUAGCCGGCCUGAGAGGGCGACCGGCCACACUGGGACUGAGACACGGCCCAGACUCCUACGGGAGGCAGCAGUGGGGAAUAUUGCGCAAUGGGCGAAAGCCUGACGCAGCGACGCCGCGUGAGGGAUGAAGGCCUUCGGGUUGUAAACCUCUUUCAGCAGGGACGAAGCGAAAGUGACGGUACCUGCAGAAGAAGCACCGGCUAACUACGUG